Malaya genurostris is the source of this 1303-nucleotide long non-coding RNA. RefSeq lists it as uncharacterized. The record is from RefSeq and is a predicted model, not a curated record. Lineage: Eukaryota; Metazoa; Arthropoda; Insecta; Diptera; Culicidae. The transcript has 3 exons.
CAAAUCACUCUAAACUCUACACGCUUACUUGUGGGUACUCAGUGGCUGAAUCAAAAGUACUCAUUUUCGAAAACUGUGACCAGCUGUCAAAAAAUGAGUAAAAUAUAAAACUUUCACUGAGUAGAAUUAGCUUCAUCCGACAUUUUCAUGUUUGCAAUUUUGAAGACUUAAAGUUGCUCAAAAUGGAAAAAAUCAGAGAUCUAGGGGACAGUGAGUCGUAUGAGGCUCUAGUUGGUAAGUAGAGCUAGCUUCUGCGAGGAUUUCUCUGUAUUUUUGCAAGUUUGUCUAAAAAGGGAUCAACAAAUCCGGAUCGGAGACCUGGAAUUUUCCAGAGGAGCUACUAUUUUCUCCGGUCAUACAGUGGACUCAGAACCUGACUGAUUACUUGGUAUCUGCAAAUAGAGUACCGCAUCUAGUUUGUGAUGCUGAAACGUUUAAAAUUGGAUCAUACUGUGUCAUUGUUGAUGGUGUUGUUGUGUUAAAAAACAGUUCAGAAAUGCUGUAGACAUAUAUUUUAAAACGUUCUCCGUCUUCGUCAUACAAAUUCCAACACUAGUGAAAAUUCUUCACGAUUGUAAUUUACAAAACGAAAAAAACAUACAGCUCACAAAACGGUGCAUAAAAUUGCCGGAGUGCUUAAGCUCUACUUAUGUGAAAACAGAAAUUAUUUCAUAAAACUAAACAAUUUGAAGACAAUACCAAAGAUAAAUAAUAAAGACAUGUAUGUGCCUACAAAAAUUUAAAAAAAUCUGGUUCGUACCCGGUACUUUCUAAAAUGACCGCACUCACCGCUUGGGGGAGCGCGAAAGUUAUUGUGUUGUAAACAAAUCAAGUUGAAGUGUGCCAUGAGUGAAACGAAAUCAAAUGUCAACAUUUCACUCAUUUUGAAACUGUUAUUGUGUAAUCUCCGUUUCAAUAUUUGAACUUCCUAAGCUGCUUCCAGAUUGGCAUAUGUGGUGAACGUUCAGGAGAGCGUUUGGCGACAAUGGUAAGGUCUUCAAUCUGCUGCCCAACGACUUUGACUAGCCAGUUAGGUAAAGUUUUUAGCUAAAUGAAUUAUGGAGAAAACAUCCAGUUCGCUUUCUGAAGGUAGCUGAUUUGGUCAUAGGGUGAAAUAUCGAGACAAGGAUACAUAAAAACAAGAUCGUAAACUACGGGGUUCACUGGCUCUUUUUUUGAGAUCAUCGACGAAGAGAAAUCCGAAUCUCCAAAUGGAAUGAAAAUAUGCAGCUCGAAGCAAAUGUUCAAAGUUCUGUUUGAUUAUAUUCACAAUGAUGCGAAUUCUGUGAUAUACGGACUGCUU